This 100-nucleotide signal recognition particle RNA is filed under the name Persephonella sp. RNAcentral's name for it is "signal recognition particle sRNA small type". It matches the Rfam family "Bacterial small signal recognition particle RNA". Rfam says of the family: The signal recognition particle (SRP) is a universally conserved ribonucleoprotein involved in the co-translational targeting of proteins to membranes. Archaeal SRP consists of a 7S RNA and homologues of the eukaryotic SRP19 and SRP54 proteins. The record is from RNAcentral. Lineage: Bacteria; Pseudomonadati; Aquificota; Aquificia; Aquificales; Hydrogenothermaceae.
CCCCGGGUCCCUUCAGGUAGGGACGGGUGAACCCCGCCAGGCCCGGAAGGGAGCAACGGUAAGCCCGCAACCCUACGCUGAAAGGGGGUGCCCGGGGUAA